This 373-nucleotide ribosomal RNA is filed under the name Symbiodinium sp. clade D. RNAcentral's name for it is "partial Bacterial large subunit ribosomal RNA". It matches the Rfam family "Bacterial large subunit ribosomal RNA", at positions 842 to 1214 of the family's 2925-position model. The record is from RNAcentral. Lineage: Eukaryota; Dinophyceae; Suessiales; Symbiodiniaceae.
GAGAUAGCUGGUUUUCUGCGAAAUUUAUUUAAGUAAAGCAUUGAGAGAUUAAAAUUUGGGGUAGAGCACUUGAUAGGCUAGGGGGAUUUUAGAAUUUUACCAAAUUUAACUAAACUUCGAAUACAAAUUUUUAAAAUUUCAAUAGACAGAUUAUGAGUGCAAAGAUUCAUAUUCAAAAGGGAAAAGCCCAGAUUAUAAGUUAAGGUCCGUAAAUAUAGCGAAAAGGUAAAUAAGGUGGCUAAAAUGGAGACGGUUAAAAGGUAGGCUUAGAAGCAGCCAUCCUUUAAAGAAAGCGUAAUUGCUCAUUAACUUAGUUUUUUGCUGCCGUCGAUGUAAUGGACUUAGCUAUAUACCGAAACUAUAAAUAAUUAAA